AUUGAACGCUGGCGGCAUGCUUUACACAUGCAAGUCGAACGGUAACAGGGUGCUUGCACCGCUGACGAGUGGCGAACGGGUGAGUAAUACAUCGGAAUGUACCCAGUAAUGGGGGAUAACGCUUCGAAAGGGGUGCUAAUACCGCAUACGCCCUGAGGGGGAAAGUGGGGGACCGCAAGGCCUCACGUUAUUGGAGCAGCCGAUGGCUGAUUAGCUAGUUGGUGAGGUAAAGGCUCACCAAGGCGACGAUCAGUAGCGGGUCUUAGAGGACGAGCCGCCACACUGGAACUGAGACACGGUCCAGACUCCUACGGGAGGCAGCAGUGGGGAAUCUUGGACAAUGGGCGAAAGCCUGAUCCAGCAAUGCCGCGUGCGUGAAGAAGGCCUUCGGGUUGUAAAGCGCUCUUGUCUGGGAGCAAAUCCUGGCCUCUAAUACAGGUCGGGGAUGAGAGUACCAGAAGAAUAAGGACCGGCUAACUACGUGCCAGCCGCCGCGGUAA
Molecule: ribosomal RNA, 500 nt
Filed under: uncultured bacterium
Lineage: Bacteria
Description: partial 16S ribosomal RNA
Rfam family: Bacterial small subunit ribosomal RNA
Source: RNAcentral